Molecule: non-coding RNA, 85 nt
Organism: Mycena vulgaris
Lineage: Eukaryota; Fungi; Basidiomycota; Agaricomycetes; Agaricales; Mycenaceae
Source: the annotation of a GenBank genome assembly
GCUUCUGUAGCACAGCGGUAGUGCAUCCGGAUUACGCAGAGUAGUGGUUUUCCGGAGGACCCCUGUUCGACUCAAGGCGGAGGCA